GCCCGGAUGGUGGAAUCGGUAGACACAAGGGAUUUAAAAUCCCUCGGCGUUCGCGCUGUGCGAGUUCAAGUCUCGCUCCGGGCACCA
This 87-nucleotide transfer RNA is filed under the name Siccibacter colletis. Its description in RNAcentral is "tRNA-Leu". It matches the Rfam family "tRNA". From Rfam's summary of the family: Transfer RNA (tRNA) molecules are approximately 80 nucleotides in length. Lineage: Bacteria; Pseudomonadati; Pseudomonadota; Gammaproteobacteria; Enterobacterales; Enterobacteriaceae. The record is from RNAcentral.